RNAcentral lists this ribosomal RNA (388 nucleotides) under uncultured bacterium. RNAcentral describes it as "bacterial SSU rRNA". It matches the Rfam family "Bacterial small subunit ribosomal RNA", at positions 29 to 417 of the family's 1533-position model. The record is from RNAcentral.
ACGAACGCUGGCGGCGUGCUUAACACAUGCAAGUCGAGCGGUAAGGCCCUUUCGGGGGUACGACGAGCGGCGAACGGGUGGGUAACACGUGGGUGACCUGCCCUCAGCUCUGGGAUAAGCCUGGGAAACUGGGUCUAAUACCGGAUAUGACUCCAUGACGCAUGUUGUGGGGUGGAAAGCCUUGUGCGGCUGAGGAUGGGCCCGCGGCCUAUCAGCUUGUUGGUGGGGUGAUGGCCUACCAAGGCGACGACGGGUAGCCGGCCUGAGAGGGCGACCGGCCACACUGGGACUGAGACACGGCCCAGACUCCUACGGGAGGCAGCAGUGGGGAAUCUUGCGCAAUGGGCGAAAGCCUGACGCAGCGACGCCGCGUGAGGGAUGACGGCCU